AUUGAACGCUGGCGGCAGGCCUAACACAUGCAAGUCGAACGAGUGGCGGACGGGUGAGUAAUGUCUGGGAAACUGCCUGAUGGAGGGGGAUAACUACUGGAAACGGUAGCUAAUACCGCAUACCAUUGUAUGUGCCCAGAUGGGAUUAGCUAGUAGGUGGGGUAACGGCUCACCUAGGCGACGAUCCCUAGCUGGUCGGAAAGGAUGACCAGCAACACUGGAACUGAGACACGGUCCAGAGUCCUACGGGAGGAAGCGGGGGGGAAUAUUGCACAAUGGGGGCAAGCCGGAUGCAGCCAUGCCGCGUGUAUGAAGAAGGCCUUCGGGUUGUAAAGUACUUUCAGCGGGGAGGCGUUACCCGCAGAAGAAGCACCGGCUAACUCCGUGCCAGCAGCCGCGGUAAUAC
RNAcentral lists this ribosomal RNA (406 nucleotides) under uncultured bacterium. RNAcentral's name for it is "partial 16S ribosomal RNA". It matches the Rfam family "Bacterial small subunit ribosomal RNA", at positions 30 to 526 of the family's 1533-position model. The record is from RNAcentral.